CGACGUGCAUUAGCUAGUUGGUAGGUAACGGCUACCAAGGCGAUGAUGCAUAGCCCGAGUUGAGAGACUGAUCGGCCACAUUGGGACUGAGACACGGCCCAAACUCCUACGGGAGGCAGCAGUAGGGAAUCUUCCACAAUGGACGAAAGUCUGAUGGAGCAACGCCGCGUGAGUGAAGAAGGUUUUCGGCUCGUAAAGCUCUGUUGUUGGUGAAGAAGGACAGGGGGUAGUAACUGAUCUUUGUUUGACGGUAAUCAAUUAGAAAGUCACGGCUAACUACGUGCCAGCAGCCGCGGUAU
RNAcentral lists this ribosomal RNA (299 nucleotides) under uncultured Lactobacillus sp. RNAcentral's name for it is "partial 16S ribosomal RNA". It matches the Rfam family "Bacterial small subunit ribosomal RNA", at positions 232 to 523 of the family's 1533-position model. The record is from RNAcentral. Lineage: Bacteria; Bacillati; Bacillota; Bacilli; Lactobacillales; Lactobacillaceae.